CACUGAAAACAGGCCAGAAAACCUUGGAUUUCUUCUACAUUGUCUUGUCCAAAGGCAGCGUGGCGCAAAAUGGUCGUUUGUCUGUGAAUGUGAAUAGUAAAAAAA
Molecule: non-coding RNA, 105 nt
Organism: Danio rerio (zebrafish)
Lineage: Eukaryota; Metazoa; Chordata; Actinopteri; Cypriniformes; Danionidae
Source: RefSeq, a predicted model, not a curated record